This 253-nucleotide ribosomal RNA is filed under the name uncultured bacterium. RNAcentral describes it as "partial 16S ribosomal RNA". It matches the Rfam family "Bacterial small subunit ribosomal RNA", at positions 524 to 776 of the family's 1533-position model. The record is from RNAcentral.
UACGUAGGUGGCAAGCGUUGUCCGGAAUUAUUGGGCGUAAAGCGCGCGCAGGCGGUCCUUUAAGUCUGAUGUGAAAGCCCACGGCUCAACCGUGGAAGGUCAUUGGAAACUGGGGGACUUGAGUGCAGGAGAGAAGAGUGGAAUUCCACGUGUAGCGGUGAAAUGCGUAGAGAUGGGGAGGAACACCAGUGGCGAAGGCGACUCUUUGGACAGUAACUGACGCUGAGGCGCGAAAGCGUGGGGAGCAAACAGG